GACGAACGCUGGCGGCGUGCUUAACACAUGCAAGUCGAACGGAAAGGCCCUGCUUUUGUGGGGUGCUCGUGUGGCGAACGGGUGAGUAAAACGUGAGUAACCUGCACUUGAAUUUGGGAUAACUUUAGGAAACUGGGGCUAAUAUCGGAUAGGAGCUCCUGCUGCAUGGUGGGGGUUGGAAAGAUUCGGCGGUUGGGGAUGGACUCGCGGCUUAUCAGCUUGUUGGUGGGGUUGUGGCUUACCAAGGCUUUGACGGGUAGCCGGCCUGAGAGGGUGACCGGCCACAUUGGGACUGAGAUACGGCCCAGACUCCUACGGGAGGCAGCAGUGGGGAAUAUUGCGCAAUGGGCGGAAGCCUGAUGCAGCAACGCCGCGUGCGGGAUGACGUCCUUCGGGUUAUAAACCUCUUUCGCCUGUGACGAAGCGUGAGUGACGGUAAUGGGUAAAGAAGCACCGGCUAACUACGUG
This 468-nucleotide ribosomal RNA is filed under the name uncultured bacterium. RNAcentral describes it as "partial 16S ribosomal RNA". It matches the Rfam family "Bacterial small subunit ribosomal RNA", at positions 28 to 507 of the family's 1533-position model. The record is from RNAcentral.